UACGGAGGGUGCAAGCAUUAAUCGGAUUUACUGGGCGUAAAGGGCGCGUAGGCGGGAAAGAAAGUCAGGUGUGAAAUCCUGGAGCUCAACUCCAGAACUGCACUUGAAACUUCUUUUCUAGAGGAUUGGCGGAGAAAAUGGAAUUCCACAAGUAGCGGUGAAAUGCGUAGAUAUGUGGAAGAACACCAGUGGCGAAGGCGAUUUUCUAGCUUUUUCCUGACGCUAAGGCGCGAAAGCAAGGGGAGCAAACAGG
Molecule: ribosomal RNA, 253 nt
Filed under: uncultured bacterium
Lineage: Bacteria
Description: partial 16S ribosomal RNA
Rfam family: Bacterial small subunit ribosomal RNA
Source: RNAcentral